ACUUUAUUAGUAUAUAAUAAGUACAAUUAACUUCCAAUUAAUAAGAUUUUUAAUUAAUAAAGUA
RNAcentral lists this transfer RNA (64 nucleotides) under Ogadenus brumpti. Its description in RNAcentral is "tRNA-Gly". Lineage: Eukaryota; Metazoa; Arthropoda; Arachnida; Ixodida; Argasidae. RNAcentral also lists the same sequence under 1 other name. The record is from RNAcentral.